CCCUUAGACGUUCUGGGCCGCACGCGCGCUACACUGACCAGUACAACAAGCAUCCGUCCUUGGCCGACAGGCUCGGGCAAUCUUUGAACGCUGGUCGUGAUGGGGAUAGACUUUUGCAAUUUUUGGUCUUCAACGAGGAAUUCCUAGUAAACGCAAGUCAUCAACUUGCAUUGAUUACGUCCCUGCCCUUUGUACACACCGCCCGUCGCACCUACCGAUUGAAUGGUCCGGUGAAAUCUCGGGACGGCGGCUUGGUCGCUUGCGUCCGACUGCUGAAACUUGAUUAAACCAUAUCAUUUAGAGGAAGGUGAANUCGUANCA
This 321-nucleotide ribosomal RNA is filed under the name uncultured eukaryote. Its description in RNAcentral is "partial 18S ribosomal RNA". It matches the Rfam family "Eukaryotic small subunit ribosomal RNA", at positions 1470 to 1796 of the family's 1831-position model. The record is from RNAcentral.